GGGUACAUGGUCUAGUGGUAUGAUUUUCGCUUCGCAUCCAUUCUCUGGAAUGCGCCUUGUGAAAGGUCCCCGGUUCAAUCCCGGGUGUAUCCA
Molecule: non-coding RNA, 93 nt
Organism: Rhypophila decipiens
Lineage: Eukaryota; Fungi; Ascomycota; Sordariomycetes; Sordariales; Naviculisporaceae
Source: the annotation of a GenBank genome assembly